UCUUAAGAAGAUUGUCACUACAAAAGAAUCAAUGGGAGAGAUUAUGAAAACCUCUUCAUUUGCCCUGACCGAAGCAAAGUAUGUUGCUGGUGAAAACAUCAAGCACGUUGUCCUUGAGAAUGUCCAGAAUGCAUCUCUUAAGGUUCGAUCCCGGCAAGAGAAUGUUGCUGGUGUGAAGCUUCCCAAGUUCGAGUAUUUCACAGAUGGUGAUACCAGGAAUGACCUCACAGGAUUGGCCAGAGGUGGUCAACAGGUCCAGGCCUGCCGUGCUGCCUACGUCAAAGCAAUUGAGCUUCUUGUUGAGCUUGCUUCACUUCAGACAUCAUUUUUGACGCUUGAUGAGGCGAUCAAGACCACUAAUCGCAGGGUCAACGCACUGGAGAACGUUGUGAAGCCAAGAUUGGAAAAUACUAUUAGUUACAUAAAGGGGGAGUUGGAUGAGCUUGAAAGGGAAGAUUUCUUCAGGUUGAAGAAGAUACAAGGUUAUAAGAAGAGGGAAAUUGAGAAACAGCUUGCUGCUGCCAAGC
RNAcentral lists this unclassified non-coding RNA (527 nucleotides) under Hevea brasiliensis (rubber tree). The record is from RNAcentral. Lineage: Eukaryota; Viridiplantae; Streptophyta; Magnoliopsida; Malpighiales; Euphorbiaceae.